Molecule: long non-coding RNA, 2143 nt
Organism: Rosa rugosa (rugosa rose)
Lineage: Eukaryota; Viridiplantae; Streptophyta; Magnoliopsida; Rosales; Rosaceae
Exons: 5
Source: RefSeq, a predicted model, not a curated record
ACUUGUGUGGAGGCAAGUAAGGAGAGGUUAAGAGCAACUCUAAGGGUCUUCGUGUAUAGAAGCAAAGUAAGUUGUGUUCAAGAGUGUGUAUAGCUCUUGGGGUAGAGUAAUCUUCUAGGUUGAGAGAGGGUGUACAAGGGGUAUCCGGUUGGAUACAAGAGCUCAGGUUGGGUAUAAACUUGAGUGCUCGAGUUGUGCAUAAAUUUGAGCAGUGUAAUCUUGUACUUGUGUAAAUCUCUUAUUAGUGAAGGUGAAACUCUCCGAGGACGUAGGUAAGGAUAUUGGCCGAACCUCAUUAAAUCUUGUUGUCUUCUUGGCUUGCUUAUUUCUUCUUUCUAUCUUUCCUAAUAGUACUUGCGUGACGGGGGAUUAAUUUCCUAACAAACUCCACUACGCAAAAUUUACUGUAAGAUCUCAUUUUUUUCACAGAUAAUUUAAGACAUGUAGAUGUUUUGUGGGGAAGACUAUCCAAGAGUUAAACAUUUUUUUUUUUCAUAAACUAACGAGGAUUAGGCGAUAUUAGCUCCUCUGCAAUGGUCUGAAAGGGAUGCCUAAGCACCCACACAACCCCGAAGGGGACCACUACAACCGGGGGCAAUGUGUUAAACAUGUGGCAAUGUGUUAUUGAUGAUUACAUGACCAGGUCAAGGUUGUUGCUCUUUCAAGUUUUGAAACAUUUGUCUAUUCUGAGUGUUGCUCAUUUAAGGUCGAGAACCCAUGCUGCACGUUCAAUUCAAGCCACCCCAUUAGGCAUUUCAUUUUCGAGUGAAACAUAUACGUUUUUUGUUCGAUCAAAAUAGGAAAGGUCUUCUGCUUCUUGACUAAUCGGCAAAUGAAUUUUUCCAUAACCACAUUCGCCCCAUUUGUCGGACCAGGAAUUCUUGAAAUGAAGCGCUAUGCAAAUGAAGACCACCAACUACUGGACCUUUGCUGACAACCAUAACCCCAAUACAAGAAUUGCUGCACCUCCAUUGCCAUUGCAGAAGCUAUGCAGGGACUGACCCUACUCCACAAAGAGAGGAAGGUAAAAUUCUAUGUAAAUCAUUUUGUAGGAGAAUCAAAGGAGAAAGGAUACAAAUUCACAAUUAUGGAGGAUGCACUCAACUUUGUUAAGAAGCACGGCUUGAUAAAAGAAGAAGAUUAUCUCAAUGAACAAAGAAAGCUGAAAGAUUGAUCCGAAGAUAUACGGAAAUGUGGGGGAAGAAACACAUACUAAUGGCAGUCAACAAAGGUCCAGCAGUUGGUGGUAUUGAUGUGCACAUCACUAUUGUCAAAUACAGAGGAUGAAUUAUUACACAGGCUGGCAUAAAGACAGCAUAUAUGAAUGAAAGACCCAGGACACUAUAUUGCCGUACUUGCAAUACAGAAACGAGGACACCUUUUUGGUGUGCUGACUGUGGAUACAAUGGGCAAAAGGGUCAUGCAAUUGCAUUGACCGGUUACGACAUCACAAAUAAGAGACUGUCUUACCUUCGUUUCAAGAACUGUUGGUCCAACAAAUGGGGCGAAUGUGGUUAUGGAAAAAUCCAUUUGCCGAUCAGUCAAGAAGCAGAAGACCUUUCCUAUUUUGAUCAUACAAGAAACAUAUAUGUUUUACUCAAAAAGGAAAUGCCUGAUGGGGUGGCUGGAAUUGAACAUGCAGUCGGUGAGCUGUGACCUGUUGGUAAAUUAUAAUUCCAACAUUGUAAAAGUCAUGGGUUCAAUUCUCAAACACACCAUCUAAAAUUUCAGCUUGAGGUGGAUUGUCCUUACCCUCACUAGAAAGAGAUUCAUGGGCAUUCCCUGGCGUAAAGAAGCUAAAAAUAUAGCAAAAUGUCCACCCCACAUAAUCCAUGGUGGCCGAAAUAAGAAUGAAAUCCAUCUAAGUAACCUUGAUGCCAUGACGGUUGGAGACGAACCAGAUAGAAUGAUUAAGCGACAUUGCAUCAUAUGUGUAUGUUUCCCUAUCACCACCUGGAGUUGGCUGAAAUGUUUGUUAUAUCUUAUCCUCAGUGUUAUGGUUAACAAUCGUAUCACGUGGCAGAUAUCAUUAGUUAAGAGUAAGUGUUCAACAACGGGAUGCAUUUCUAUCACGAAUGACAUAUUAUAAUGCCCUUAUAAUGAGUAAACGAUCAUAUUUAGAGUUGUGAAAUCUACACACAUC